Molecule: long non-coding RNA, 1275 nt
Filed under: Phascolarctos cinereus (koala)
Lineage: Eukaryota; Metazoa; Chordata; Mammalia; Diprotodontia; Phascolarctidae
Description: lncRNA (ENSPCIG00000035224.1)
Source: RNAcentral
GUUCCCAUAUGGAUCAUUUGGACCAGUCUCCUCAUUCUAUACACCAGAGAAGUUAAGGGACCAGCCCGGAUUUACAUAGGUAUUAGGUGACAGAAUGAAAAUUCAGAAGGAAUCUAGCUCUCUUUCUACUCUGGCCUUCUGGGUCAUCUGGCUAAAAAGUGAGGUAUCAGAGGCAGAUCCUGAAUUCAGGCCUUCCUGUCUGUAGGCCCAAUGUCCUCCUUACUAUGCCAGGCUGCCUUUACGUUCAGGUGAGGAGUUUGGGUAUAGGUCUCCUAGGAAAGGUGCUGCCUCACACAUCCUGGCACCCCAGGAUUCCCAGAUCUGAAAUUAGAAGGGACCCCCAAAGACCAUUUAGAUCAGCCUCCUCAUUUUACAGAUGAGGAAAUUGAGACCCUGGGAGAUUAGGUCUGUAGGAGUAAAUCCAUGUUCAUGCUUCAUAAAAGAAGACAAUUCCACAAUCCACCACUUCUGAAUCUACGGCAGCCAACUGCUCCAGCUGCUACCACAACCAAAUGCUCCUUUAGGACCUCGGUACCUGGGACCACCAAAGCAGCACUUCCAACCUUCAUCACCUCCAUCUUGAGAACCACGAUCGGUCAUCUACUCAGCAACAAGCAUAAAGUGGAGAAAAGCGGCAGAAGAAGAGCACCUCGUCACCUCACCUGGGGAAGGAUGGCAUGGUGGAGGAACAGCACCCCCCCGGCUUCCUUCUCCAUUCCACAGGAGUCUAGAGACAGAGUGGGCUUCCUAUCACAUGGAAGAAUCCCAGCCAAGAAGGGCAAGCCAGAAGCUGUUCUGCUAAUGGCUACAACCCCUGCUACUGUCAUGGGGGUGGGGAGAGAGGGAGGGAAUGGCCAAAGAGCCAUUAAGCACGUUGUACUCGCCCACACAUUAGAACACAGAGGCAGCAGAGGGCCAGAAGGAAAUGCCCCACUCUGCUCAAGUUUCAGGAGGAUCGUUCCAAUCACAAAGGGGCUCUUGCUCCACUUACACUCAAAUUUAAUGUCAGAGCCCCUGAAGUGGUACCUAGAGAACUGAUUUCUUCAGCAAGCAAUCAUUAAACACCUACUACACGUAAGGCAUUGUGGUAAGUGAUGUGGGUGCAGAGACAAUGCAUAGUUCUUGCCUUCAAUGAGUACAUAUUCCCACUGAGGGAAAGAAUAUUUGCACACAAUAUGCAUAUGACUGCACAUCUAUACAUAUGAGCCAUAUGAAAUUAGUCUGGAAAGACUGGUUGAAGACCAAUUAAAAUGGUCUUUAAAUGUCAAAUACAGG